GUUGUUUUGGCAGAUAAUAUGCAUUAAAUUUAGGGUUUAAUUAUAUAGUUGAGUCUAUAAAUAACA
RNAcentral lists this transfer RNA (66 nucleotides) under Longpotamon parvum. RNAcentral describes it as "tRNA-Leu". The record is from RNAcentral. Lineage: Eukaryota; Metazoa; Arthropoda; Malacostraca; Decapoda; Potamidae.